This is a long non-coding RNA of Acinonyx jubatus (cheetah), 949 nucleotides long. RefSeq lists it as uncharacterized. The record is from RefSeq and is a predicted model, not a curated record. NCBI's taxonomy places the organism in Eukaryota, Metazoa, Chordata, Mammalia, Carnivora, Felidae. The transcript is spliced from 3 exons.
CACCAUUCUGGAGGGGAAGGGUACCUGCCUUAUUACUUCCAGGUUGCUGCCUUCUGAAGUUCCAAUUCUGGGAUACAUGCAGCAGAAAGAAAAUCCAGGAAACCCCCUGCCAUAUCAUUUUGCAGAGCAAUGUCAAGAACAAAAUCAAAAACCUAUGGAAGCCCACUGCAAAAUUAGAGGACAAGUUUUCCCUGUAAACCCUAAGACGAUCUACUCAGCUUCAAGAACUGCAGAAUAUCAGCACCUGUUUGAGAAAACUAAAUGGAAGCAGCAUGCCCUGAGAACACAAGAACCCAAAAUUGACAACGGACGUUCCCUGCAAGUAUGCCUGCAAGGUCAAUGUGAAAACAGUAGAUGAAACUAGGGGGGUGGUUUACACAUUCUAAUUGGUGUGUGAGUGCAAAAGGCCCAUAGAAAAGUCCAAAGAAGUACAACAAUCUAUAUUCUGUACACUAUAAAAAAUAAAAGCAAAAACAAAAAGAGACAAAACUUCCUUUAAAAACACAUCCUACAAUAAAGUAUAAAAUGCUGAGAAUAGAAUCCAUAGUAAAAGGAACCAUGGCAAUAAAGGGAGAAUGAUCCCGAUAAAUCAGUUAGGGAACAGAGUCAGGGGACUAUGGAAAGGAUAAGACUAAGUCAUAAUUUAGGGCACUUUACAAACACUGAGUAGUGAGCUCUAGAUGAAGGCAGAAACAUUUCUUGGUCUAUGCUUCUUCUAUUUUAAGUACAAAAAACCUAAAUCUAUGUAAGAAUGAGUAACAGGAAAGGAUCAUAGUUGAAUCAUGUGUGAUGUUAUUAUAAGGACAAAAGAAUGAAGAAAAAAAUAAUAAUCUUACAGACAGUGUAAGUAUGCUGAUGAGAACAUUCUAAAAAUACAUGCCCACUAGAGAAAAAGAAAACAAUAAUCAAAUUUUUCACUGCGACCUAAAUAAAAAUUAUGUAUAAUAUG